GCGGCCAUGGCCUAGUGGUUAUGGCGUCAGUCUUACAGUCAGCCGAUCUUCGAUUGCCGCACUGCUUACACUGAAGGUCGGUGGUUCGAUCCCGCCUGGCCGUA
This 104-nucleotide transfer RNA is filed under the name Neofusicoccum parvum UCRNP2. It matches the Rfam family "tRNA". Rfam says of the family: Transfer RNA (tRNA) molecules are approximately 80 nucleotides in length. Their secondary structure includes four short double-helical elements and three loops (D, anti-codon, and T loops). The record is from Rfam by way of RNAcentral. Lineage: Eukaryota; Fungi; Ascomycota; Dothideomycetes; Botryosphaeriales; Botryosphaeriaceae.